AAACUCAAAGGAAUUGACGGGGAGCACCACAACGGGUGGAGCUUGCGGGUUUAAUUGGAUUCAACGCCGGAAAUCUUACCGGGACCGACAGCAAUAUGAAGGCCAGGCUGAAGACUUUGCCGGAUUAGCUGAGAGGUGGUGCAUGGCCGUCGUCAGUUCGUACUGUGAAGCAUCCUGUUAAGUCAGGCAACGAGCGAGACCCACGCCCACAGUUGCCAGCGUACUCUCUGGAGUGACGGGUACACUGUGGGACCGCCGCUGCUAAAGCGGAGGAAGGAAUGGGCAACGGUAGGUCAGUAUGCCCCGAAUAUCCCGGGCUACACGCGAGCUACAAUGGUUGGUACAAUGGGUAUCUACCCCGAAAGGGGACGGGAAUCUCCUAAAACCAAUCUUAGUUCGGAUUGAGGGCUGCAACUCGCCCUCAUGAAGCUGGAAUCCGUAGUAAUCGCGUUUCAACAGAACGCGGUGAAUACGUCCCUGCUCCUU
This 486-nucleotide ribosomal RNA is filed under the name uncultured Methanosaeta sp. Its description in RNAcentral is "bacterial SSU rRNA". It matches the Rfam family "Archaeal small subunit ribosomal RNA", at positions 852 to 1338 of the family's 1478-position model. Lineage: Archaea; Methanobacteriati; Methanobacteriota; Methanomicrobia; Methanotrichales; Methanotrichaceae. The record is from RNAcentral.